Molecule: non-coding RNA, 632 nt
Organism: Microcebus murinus (gray mouse lemur)
Lineage: Eukaryota; Metazoa; Chordata; Mammalia; Primates; Cheirogaleidae
Source: RefSeq, a predicted model, not a curated record
AAAAUCUGUCACAGUCUACGUUCCAGCCCCACUGAACAACUUUUAGUUCACACCCUGAAAAUGCAAGGAUUUCUUUCUCCUCCAGUGGAGUGACUUCAGCCAGGACAUGGAAAGAAACCUUGUCCAGCACGUCCCCAGGCGUGGCGUGCUGUUCACUGCGCUCCAAGAACCACUGCCCUUCCAGGGCCUGGGAAAACACUGGCCCCCACAUUGGAGAUGAGGCGCCUGUUGGACAUUCCUCAAAGAAGACUCAGGCAGCCCUGCCUCAGACACCGAUGAUGUUUCCGGGUCAAGGCCUUGGGGAGAGAGCCCAGCCGCCACCUCUUGUCUCUCAGUUCCCUGCACUCAGCCAAGGUGACGCCGUCGCCCACUCUGUGUGGGGCAGCCCCCACAGCCUCUUGGUGCAAUCCUAAAACUCACUGGCCUGGCUUCCCACAGCCUCCACGAAUGAUGCCAACUGUGCCGUGUCUCAAGGAUUUCCCACUUGCCAAGUAGGGAAGUCAGGGAGGCACAGUCAGGCUUCAACCUUGAAGAGGGGUAACCUGGCUAUCAGCUGUGCAAGACUUUAUGUAAGCUCCAAGGGGCAACCUCUUAUUCAAUGCUGGGCACUUAAUAAAUGCUUUAAAAAAUUA